CCGCGGUAAAACCGGUUACUCCUACGGGAGGCAGCAGUGGGGAAUAUUGGACAAUGGGCGAAAGCCUGAUCCAGCAAUGCCGCGUGAGUGAUGAAGGCCUUAGGGUUGUAAAGCUCUUUUACCCGGGAUGCAGUACCGGGAGAAUAAGCCCCGGCUAACUCC
This 162-nucleotide ribosomal RNA is filed under the name uncultured bacterium. Its description in RNAcentral is "partial 16S ribosomal RNA". It matches the Rfam family "Bacterial small subunit ribosomal RNA", at positions 305 to 504 of the family's 1533-position model. The record is from RNAcentral.